Molecule: long non-coding RNA, 537 nt
Filed under: Nilaparvata lugens (brown planthopper)
Lineage: Eukaryota; Metazoa; Arthropoda; Insecta; Hemiptera; Delphacidae
Description: uncharacterized LOC111055303, transcript variant X1
Source: RNAcentral
UUAUUUAGGAUUUGAAUUUUCCUAUUGAAAUAUUAUGUUGCUAUUUAUCCAUGAUAACAAUUAAUGUUUAUUUUUCAAGGUUGUUGGUCAUUAACUUAGUUACAUAGAUAACAAUAGCAAUUGCUUUCCUGCGUAUCAUCAUUACUACUGCCUAUAUCGUACCUAUAUUUUGUGUUUUCUGUGGAGAACGAAUGGCUCAAGUUAAUGAAGCUAAUGAAAUAUCAAAAACCUACCAAGACAAUUUCUGACAUUUUACAACAUUCUACAGGCACAUAGAAGACUGGCUUAUGAUGGCGAAAGACUUUUGAAGGCGGUUACCUUGAUUGGGAUCAUAUCUAUUAAACCUUCGAAUCCUGCACUCAAAAGUAAAUGUGAUACCAUUCAAAUGGAAUAAGAUUGAUUUGAAUUGGAAUUUGUUAUUCCUGUAUCAUAGUGCAUUUUUCUACUAGUUACCCUACGUAUUGUACAUUAUUGUAAUAAAGCACUAGCUGUUCCAUAGUAGAAGUCUUUGAAAUAAAAGGUUUCUUUUUCAAGUUA